ACAAAGGUGGCUCACUGGUAGAAUUCCCACCUUUCAUGUGGGAGACCUGGGUGCAAUUCCUGGCCAGUGCG
Molecule: transfer RNA, 71 nt
Filed under: Loxodonta africana (African savanna elephant)
Lineage: Eukaryota; Metazoa; Chordata; Mammalia; Proboscidea; Elephantidae
Rfam family: tRNA
About the family: Transfer RNA (tRNA) molecules are approximately 80 nucleotides in length. Their secondary structure includes four short double-helical elements and three loops (D, anti-codon, and T loops).
Source: Rfam by way of RNAcentral